GUCCACGCCCUAAACGAUGUCAACUAGGUGUUGGGGAAGGAGACUUCUUUAGUACCGCAGCUAACGCGUGAAGUUGACCGCCUGGGGAGUACGGUCGCAAGAUUAAAACUCAAAGGAAUUGACGGGGACCCGCACAAGCGGUGGAUUAUGUGGAUUAAUUCGAUGCAACGCGAAAACCUUACCUACCCUUGACAUGCCAGGAAGAUCGCAGAGAUGUGAUUGUGCCCGAAAGGGAACCUGGACACAGGUGCUGCAUGGCUGUCGU
This 265-nucleotide ribosomal RNA is filed under the name uncultured bacterium. Its description in RNAcentral is "partial 16S ribosomal RNA". It matches the Rfam family "Bacterial small subunit ribosomal RNA", at positions 793 to 1055 of the family's 1533-position model. The record is from RNAcentral.